CUAUGUUUCCAUCCACUUGUCAAUGGAAUUAUCUGAAGUUUGGCCAAAAAAGUGUGUUUCCAUCCAACAACAGCUUUGAAGCAAAUAACAACCUAUUUGUAAUGCCGACGGUCAGAUUGGUAAAUAGAUUUGAGACAUUUGAAGGUGUUUCCAUUCAUUUUUGCCCUUUUUGAAUCGCACAACAUUCAAGCAAAGAUUUGCUAAAGAAGGUUUUGCUAGCCAAGAUGGAUCGACUUCCUACAAACGAUUCAUAUUUAACAAGUUGUAAUAGUGCUUAUGUGCCAGCUGAUAGCGACUAUUCAAUCUUUAAUAAGAUAACAACUACAUUGUGAAAAUAUCGCUAUGAUGAUGCAAAUGCACGUUAGGUUGCUAUCUAACAUAGUCGUUAUAUUUCGCUCGUAAAUUACAUUAAAAAAAGUCUCGUCUCCUCGAUCGUCCAUCUAUAUCUGUCUUUGUUGACACCCGCCACGUCUGCAAAGAAAACGGAAGAACGUGGCAAGUAUGGCUUAAAACUACUCCUUUGUUUUAUGGCAGUAGACUUAAAUGACCUAAAACGUAAUCACAAUUCAUUAUUUAUUCGGCAAAUAAUGUUUCCCAGCGUUAUUUGCGUAAAAUCCAAUGAAAUUGACCAUUCAAACUUUGUGUCAAUAUUCAUGAAACAUGUCAUAUUUUACCGUUUCCAUGGGGCGUUUUUCAUUUGAUAUUACUUAAUUGACAUUAAAAUGUGUGGAUGGAAACAUGGCCAGCGUAAAGUGAGACAGCAGCCACUGCCUAAUCUCUCAUUCCGACCGUACAUGUGUACGUAGCAGCAGCCGUAGUUUCAGUGCAGUACAGCCGCCGGUGAAGUGACUUGAAUGUGGAGUUUAUGUAUUAUUCUUUAAGAUUAGGACAAGGCCAGUUUUUCUUGUAAUUCUCGACACGGCACGGAGCAGCUGCCAAUAUCAGAAAGCUAUUAAACUGAAUAUUAUCAGAGUAAGGUCAGAGUUCUUAUUUUUUAAACUAGAAACUGUAAUUUCAUCUGUGAAAACACGUUUUUCUGUUCUUUCCUGUACUCUCAAAGUAUUUUUCUUAAUCUCACUCUUUUUCUUUGAUGUCGAGGUAAUUGUCUUUGUGUGGUGACCACUUAAAAGUAAGAAUUAUAGAGCUUUGUCCACAUAUACGUUGCGUAUUUUUAAAAAGAAGAAGACAAAAUUAAUGUUGAUGCUUGUGUUUUUAGUGUUUAUGUGUUCUGGUACUUUGUCCUUAUCUACCCCUGUAGAUGCAGAUGGAUCACAUCCCUCACAGUGCUGUUUCCUCUCGUGCUGUUUCAGUGUUGUUGCAUUUUUUUUUAUUUUUUUUCCUCUACAGAGUUUUAUCCUUAAAAUAUCCUAUCCCUAAAAUAUCUAUUUAAUCUGUUGGUUGGGCAGUACUCUUUAUGUUCUCGCUUUAAAACGGCAAAAAAAAAAAAAAAGAUGAGUAUCGGUUUCACUUUUCAGAUAUGUAGCAUUUUGAAUAUUGUAAAGAAGGUGAAGAUGACACAUAAUUAAUCACAUAGUUUCCAAGCUGCAUUUAAAAGCAAUGGUGCUUCAUAGACCAUGUAUUUGUCAUUUCUAGAACAUUGUUUUACAUCCCCUGGAUCCAAUAACAAUAUAUGUUGAUGUUUUCAUGCUGACAUUUUCUUUAAAGUUCAUUUUAAUCCGUAUGAUGUGCCUUAUGCUUGUCUCAGUACAUUUCCUGCGUUUUCCCUUCAAGUGCACAAGUUUGUUCGCUGCAACCUGUAGAUGACUUCCUUCGACUUGAGGGGCAAUUAUUGAAAUAAAUCCUAACUUGACAUUGUGUAUUAACACCUUAACUGUGUUUCCCAGCAUUGGUCGUCAGUUAACGACCACUAGCAGAGCCCGCUUUAUUGGGUCCACUUACCUUUUGUUCUUUGGAAAUACAGUGUCACAGUUGGGAUGAUUAUCAUAAUCCCUCAAGAUAGCCUCCUCUCAUCUCAAUCCACAUGGAACAGCAGCAUCUAGUCAGGGAGCAUCAGACACAAUAGAAGCCUCUUACAUUCAAGUAGAACCCAGUAGAGCUUAACAAUCACCGCCCACUUUAUAAACGCCUCUGGUUCUCAAAGUGUUUUUCCUCAUUCAAAAUCUCCAUUGACAUCUCGUUAAAUUUGUGUAUAGAGCCGUCUCCGAGAGCAACUGUGACCAUAAAAUAUUUGAUCCGGCGCAAAAUAACCUUUUGAAAAAGAUGAAAACGUCAAAGACCGUGUACAGAAACUAUCAUAGACUUCAGUGGUAGAAGCAUGCUAACUGGUUGCAAGUUCGGUAAACAUUUCCAUGGUAACAGCGAGAUUUUAAUCAGAAUUUUUUAUGGUCACUUUUUCGGACUUCUAGCUUCUACAGCAGCUGAAAUGUUCGUUACACAACCUCGGAGCUCGUGGUCAGUCUGCCUCAGAUGGUUUAGACAUUAUGGCGGAUAAUCAAAAAUCCUUAUGAAGUAAAAAUGAAUGGGAUUUUUACUUCUGGAACCACACUAUGGCGCAUUAUUAGAACUCAUUGUAGACCCCCUGGUGAGGACGAUUCAAAAUUGGUGAAAGGUUUUUAAGGUAAAGGAUUCUCCAGCUCAUUAAAACGACCUGACAGUCUGUUUGUUAAUGAAGCUGUUUGGAGGGAUUUUUGGUUUAGUCAAGACAAAAAAGAAGUUUUGACUUGUCAGUAACGGUUUUCCUGGGAGGGUCAGAGGGGACAGCAGUGUCCAACAAAGUUAGUGCCUUGCUUUAGCAGAUUGCUUGACUCAGACUCAAAGGUUUAAUAGUCACGUUACUGUCAUCUGCAAACCAAAUUUGAUGUUUUUUUACUUUUACUUUGGUAAAUAGUGGCUCAACAUGCUUCAAACAUACAGUUGGCCUUAAAUGCACAUGUGCACAGAAGCUUUAAAAUUCAAUAUUCCACAAACAUUGGGUUAUUUUAGUGAUUUUUGGCCAUUAGUUCUACCAGUUGCUAAUUACUUUAUUUGGUCCUUAAGGACUGAGACCACAGGAAGGAAGUUUAGAGCAGACGAUUCAAGACAUUUCGAGAGGAUAUAACCAAAUCUGCACUUUAAAUAAAUUAUCUAAGCUGUGCUUCUGCCGCAAUAUUGGUGACUCCAAUGUCAUCACAACUGAUGGUAAUACAGAGGGAGAACAAAAAAAAAAUCUUUACUCUAGCGAAGGCACAUGUUAAAUGGAGAUUAAAAUUAUCCUGAGAGGGGAGAGAAACAGUUAUGAAUGAGAUUUGAAAAGAUGUGCUGUCGGGUUGAGCGAUACAUCCUGCUCAGCCUGUCCACUGACACAUAGCGCUCAACUCCUCCGCUCGACAAACUACUCAUCGGUUUCUACUCUCACUCCCCCUUUCUUUGCCUUCUUUUAAGACUCAAAAGCCAAAUUUAGUUUUCUCUCCUUACAUGUCGACAGUUACUUUCGACAAGAGGGCAUUCGUAUCAUUGCCCAAGUUGAGCGACUCAUAUUUUUAGGAUCAAGUAUAUUUAAGACUAUUUAAGAGACCAAAGAGUUUUUAAAGGACUACGUUUUAAUGUUCUGAAACAUGAACAUGGAAGAAGAACAGCACCCCAGAUGGACAUUAGAGCAACUGAUGAGAACUAAAUUGUGUUAAUGUAUGUGGAAAGAGUUGGCCAGAUGGAAGUUGUUUUAAAAAUACAAAUCUAGGCAAAAGGGAAGUCCCGCCCCCAUUUUAGACCCCGCUUCACUAGCUUCGACCAGACAAAUAAAAAUAAAAUGGUUUAUAAAUUAUAGUAAUUUUAACCAAGACAAAACAAGUAUUAUUUUGUCGGCAUAUGUAAAAUACACCUCCGGUAGUCUUCUAAGGAGGUGUAGUGUUGGAUCCUAACACUGUUUUAUCUUUGCUAAAAUGAAGAAAUGUGAACAUUUAACUGCUUAAUAUCCUCAGAAUAUUGAUAGAAAAACCUGAAGAUCCGAUACAUUAAAGACAACUCCCUGAGAGAAAAAGUAGUAGUAGCACAGAUGCUAACCCCCAAAAAGGGGCGGGGUUUCAGAUCUUGAUUCAAUCCCUAGAAGACUUCUCACCAGUGCUAGUGCCCAAUACUGUGCCGCUUGAAGGGUCCCCCCCCCCCCCCC
Etheostoma spectabile (orangethroat darter) is the source of this 4105-nucleotide long non-coding RNA. RefSeq lists it as uncharacterized. The transcript is spliced from 2 exons. NCBI's taxonomy places the organism in Eukaryota, Metazoa, Chordata, Actinopteri, Perciformes, Percidae. The record is from RefSeq and is a predicted model, not a curated record.